CAGGGCAUAGCUAAGAAAGAAAAGCAUCUCCCUUACACUGAGAAGAGAUUCGUGCAACUCGAAUUGCCCUGA
This 72-nucleotide transfer RNA is filed under the name Acanthaphritis unoorum. Its description in RNAcentral is "tRNA-Val". It matches the Rfam family "tRNA". Rfam says of the family: Transfer RNA (tRNA) molecules are approximately 80 nucleotides in length. Their secondary structure includes four short double-helical elements and three loops (D, anti-codon, and T loops). The record is from RNAcentral. Lineage: Eukaryota; Metazoa; Chordata; Actinopteri; Pempheriformes; Percophidae.